Heteronotia binoei (common prickly gecko) is the source of this 411-nucleotide non-coding RNA. NCBI's taxonomy places the organism in Eukaryota, Metazoa, Chordata, Lepidosauria, Squamata, Gekkonidae. The record is from the annotation of a RefSeq genome assembly.
AUGUCUCCAGUAAUGAAACUGACGAUCCUCCUGAUACAUCUCCUAGUGGUCUUCCCUGCAUGCAUUGCUUCACAGAUCACCCUGACAGAGUCGGGUGGUGGCAUCAAGAGGCCAGGAGAUACUCUACAACUGACCUGCACAGUCUCAUUUGAUUUAACAAGCUAUUCUGUGAGCUGGGUCCGUCAGCCACCAGGGAAAGGGAUGGAGUGGAUAGGAGUCAUAUGGACCGGUGGAAGCACUAACUAUAAUAGUGCUCUCCAAAGCCUCAUGAGCAUCACCAGAGACACCUCCAAAAGGCAGGUUUUCCUGCAGCUGAACAGCCUGAGAGCAGAGGACACCUCCAUGUAUUACUGCGCUAGAUACACAGAGAGAAAAACCUUGCUAGAGGCAAGCCAAAAACUCCCUUUCUAA